UACAGAGGGUGCAAGCGUUGUUCGGAAUUAUUGGGCGUAAAGGGCGCGUAGGCGGCCAGCACAAGUCAGUUGUGAAAUCUCCGAGCUUAACUCGGAAAGGUCAACUGAUACUGUGCGGCUAGAGUGCGGAAGGGGCAACUGGAAUUCUUGGUGUAGCGGUGAAAUGCGUAGAUAUCAAGAGGAACACCUGCGGCGAAGGCGGGUUGCUGGGCCGACACUGACGCUGAUGCGCGAAAGCCAGGGGAGCGAACGGG
This 254-nucleotide ribosomal RNA is filed under the name uncultured bacterium. Its description in RNAcentral is "partial 16S ribosomal RNA". It matches the Rfam family "Bacterial small subunit ribosomal RNA", at positions 524 to 776 of the family's 1533-position model. The record is from RNAcentral.